This 422-nucleotide long non-coding RNA is filed under the name Homo sapiens (human). RNAcentral describes it as "non-protein coding lnc-SIK1-1:1". The record is from RNAcentral. Lineage: Eukaryota; Metazoa; Chordata; Mammalia; Primates; Hominidae.
GCUUCUUCCAAAUCCUGGAGCCUCUGAAACUGUAAGAUAAUGAAGGCCCAGCGUCCCUCGAGGUGAGGUUGGGACCAUGUGACCAGCCAUGGCCAAUGGGCUCUGAGCAGAAGGACCAUGAGUCGGCUUGCCAACACACUCAGAGGUUGCAUGCCUCCUCCACAGGCCCCUCUCUGCCGUGGGACCCUGGAGGCAUGUCUGUGAGGGCGGCACUAGGAGAUGGGGAACCCGGCCCCCCAGUGACCCUGGAGGAGGGCCCUGACAAUCCGUGUGCUGCUUGCCCUAGAGAGAAAUACGCUGUAGCGCGAUUAAGCUGUGAGAUUUUGGAGGUUUGCUUGUUACUGCGUCACGUCACGGCCCAGCCUCUCCUGACUCGGUGCAGCAGAUAACAAUGGCAGUCAAAGCACCACGUUAUCUGUUCU